RNAcentral lists this ribosomal RNA (497 nucleotides) under uncultured bacterium. RNAcentral's name for it is "partial 16S ribosomal RNA". It matches the Rfam family "Bacterial small subunit ribosomal RNA", at positions 28 to 507 of the family's 1533-position model. The record is from RNAcentral.
GAUGAACGCUGGCGGUGUGCCUAAUACAUGCAAGUCGAGCGAACAGACGAGGAGCUUGCUCCUCUGACGUUAGCGGCGGACGGGUGAGUAACACGUGGAUAACCUACCUAUAAGACUGGGAUAACUUCGGGAAACCGGAGCUAAUACCGGAUAAUAUAUUGAACCGCAUGGUUCAAUAGUGAAAGACGGUUUUGCUGUCACUUAUAGAUGGAUCCGCGCCGCAUUAGCUAGUUGGUAAGGUAACGGCUUACCAAGGCAACGAUGCGUAGCCGACCUGAGAGGGUGAUCGGCCACACUGGAACUGAGACACGGUCCAGACUCCUACGGGAGGCAGCAGUAGGGAAUCUUCCGCAAUGGGCGAAAGCCUGACGGAGCAACGCCGCGUGAGUGAUGAAGGCCUUCGGAUCGUAAAACUCUGUUAUUAGGGAAGAACAAAUGUGUAAGUAACUAUGCACGUCUUGACGGUACCUAAUCAGAAAGCCACGGCUAACUACGUG